RNAcentral lists this ribosomal RNA (466 nucleotides) under uncultured bacterium. RNAcentral's name for it is "partial 16S ribosomal RNA". It matches the Rfam family "Bacterial small subunit ribosomal RNA", at positions 339 to 795 of the family's 1533-position model. The record is from RNAcentral.
CUACGGGACGCACCAGUGGGGAAUAUUGGACAAUGGGGGAAACCCUGAUCCAGCAAUGCCGCGUGUGUGAAGAAGGCCUGCGGGUUGUAAAGCACUUUCGGUUGGGAGGACUGCUUCUAGCACUAAUAUUGUUGGAAGUUGACGUUACCUUCAGAAGAAGCACCGGCUAACUCCGUGCCAGCAGCCGCGGUAAUACGGAGGGGUGCAAGCGUUAAUCGGAAUUACUGGGCGUAAAGCGCGCGUAGGCGGCUAGAUCAGUCGGGUGUGAAAGCCCCGGGCUUAACCUGGGAACUGCAUCCGAUACUGUCUAGCUUGAGUACAGGAGAGGAGAGUGGAAUUCCACAUGUAGCGGUGAAAUGCGUAGAUAUGUGGAGGAACACCAAUGGCGAAGGCAGCUCUCUGGCCUGAUACUGACGCUGAGGUGCGAAAGCGUGGGGAGCAAACAGGAUUAGAUACCCCGGUAGUC